Nerophis ophidion (straightnose pipefish) is the source of this 439-nucleotide long non-coding RNA. RefSeq lists it as uncharacterized. The transcript is spliced from 3 exons. The record is from RefSeq and is a predicted model, not a curated record. Lineage: Eukaryota; Metazoa; Chordata; Actinopteri; Syngnathiformes; Syngnathidae.
GGAGAGAGUGUGAACCUGGGUGCCGUUACUUCUGUUGACCGCAAAAGGACUGCAAAAGGACUUCAAAAGAACCACAAACCAUCUGAAUGGUGUACGCCGCCUUCCGCCUGACUGUAGCUGCGAUAGGCACCAGCGCUCCCAGCGACCCCAAAGGGAAUAAGCGGCAGAAAAUGGAUGGAUGGAUAUAUCAAAAUGAGGGUGUGUGGGGAGGCGGAGCCGACAGGCCGACGGAGGGGCAGGACACGCUUUGGCCCUGCUCAAGAUGGCGGCCAGGAGGCGGAGAAUGCGGCAGAACAAGUGUAUAAAAGGGGAGAAGGAGGAAAGAUCAUGGCAGAAGGUGUAGGAGAACCAGCAACAGAACCUGAAGAGCGAGAAUGACCGAGAGCAACUGGAAGAUGCGGCCGACUGAAGGCGAGAGAGGAGCGAGCAGGAGAGGAGC